Molecule: ribosomal RNA, 494 nt
Filed under: uncultured bacterium
Lineage: Bacteria
Description: bacterial SSU rRNA
Rfam family: Bacterial small subunit ribosomal RNA
Source: RNAcentral
GACGAACGCUGGCGGCGUGCCUAACACAUGCAAGUCGAACGGAGAUAUAAUUUCGGUUAUAUCUUAGUGGCGAACGGGUGAGUAACGCGUGAGCAACCUGACUCUUAGAGGGGGAUAACACCCGGAAACGAGUGCUAAUACCGCAUAAGACCACGACAUGGCAUCAUGACGAGGUCAAAGGAGCAAAUCCGCUGAGAGAGGGGCUCGCGUCCCAUUAGAUAGAUGGCGGGGUAACGGCCCACCAUGUCAGCGAUGGGUAGCCGAGCUGAGAGGCUGAUCGGCCACACUGGAACUGAGACACGGUCCAGACUCCUACGGGAGGCAGCAGUGGGGAAUAUUGGGCAAUGGGCGCAAGCCUGACCCAGCAACGCCGCGUGAGGGAAGAAGGCUUUCGGGUGUAAACCUCUGUCCUUGGUGACGAAAACAAAUGACGGUAGCCAAGGAGGAAGCCCCGGCUAACUACGUGCCAGCAGCCGCGGUAAAAAUAGCGUACU